This 299-nucleotide ribosomal RNA is filed under the name Babesia venatorum (nom. ined.). RNAcentral describes it as "Babesia sp. venatorum partial 18S ribosomal RNA". It matches the Rfam family "Eukaryotic small subunit ribosomal RNA", at positions 728 to 1029 of the family's 1831-position model. Lineage: Eukaryota; Apicomplexa; Aconoidasida; Piroplasmida; Babesiidae. The record is from RNAcentral.
UUCGCUUUUGGGAUUUAUCCCUUUUUACUUUGAGAAAAUUAGAGUGUUUCAAGCAGACUUUUGUCUUGAAUACUUCAGCAUGGAAUAAUAGAGUAGGACUUUGGUUCUAUUUUGUUGGUUUUUGAACCUUAGUAAUGGUUAAUAGGAACGGUUGGGGGCAUUCGUAUUUAACUGUCAGAGGUGAAAUUCUUAGAUUUGUUAAAGACGAACUACUGCGAAAGCAUUUGCCAAGGACGUUUCCAUUAAUCAAGAACGAAAGUUAGGGGAUCGAAGACGAUCAGAUACCGUCGUAGUCCUAA